CCUACGGGAGGCAGCAGUGGGGAAUAUUGGGCAAUGGACGCAAGUCUGACCCAGCAACGCCGCGUGAAGGAUGAAGGCUUUCGGGUUGUAAACUUCUUUUAAGGGGGAAGAGCAGAAGACGGUACCCCGUGAAUAAGCCACGGCUAACUACGCGCCAGCAGCCGCGGUAAUACGUAGGGUGCAAGUGUUGCCCGGAUUUACUGGGUGUAAAGGGCGUACAGCCGGAGAGAAAAGUCAGAUGUGAAAUCCACGGGCUCAACCCGUGAACUGCAUUUGAAACUGUUUCCCUGGAGUGUCGGAGAGGUAAUCGGAAUUCGUGGUGUAGCGGUGAAAUGCGUAGAGAUAAGGAAGAACACCAAUGGCGAAGGCGGAUUACUGGACGAUAACUGACGGUGAGGCGCGAAAGCGUGGGGAGCAAACAGGAUUAGAUACCCCAGUAGUC
RNAcentral lists this ribosomal RNA (442 nucleotides) under uncultured bacterium. Its description in RNAcentral is "partial 16S ribosomal RNA". It matches the Rfam family "Bacterial small subunit ribosomal RNA", at positions 338 to 795 of the family's 1533-position model. The record is from RNAcentral.